UGAUCAGGGAUCCUAAGAAGGGGACCUUCAACUCGCCUACCUGCACCUGCGGGCAUGAAACGCAGGCCCCGUGAAAUAGGGCGUCAGUACGAAAAAUUACUGAGUAUGUAAGGCAACAGAAUAACUGAAAGCUGAAACAGAACUAAUAAUAUAAUAACUGAAAACAACCGGGAGUCAAAGAAAAUCUGAAGAUAUGCUCAUCUACUGAUACUUACUCAAUUCUCUCAAUAUAGUGAGUAAAAUAGUUGUCUGACCCUAUAAGGCUCGGUAUACAUAUAUAUUUGCUAUGCCGUAAUAGGCUCGCUCAUAAGCGCUCGGCCAUACUAGGCUCUGUAUAUCGACCAACUGGGCUCGCUCAUAGGUGUUUGGCCACAGUAGGAUCGGUAUAUAACUUACCAUCUGAUCAGAGGUUGCCCAAUAGGGGUUGCCCAUCGAUUAUAGCUCGAUGGUAAUGAAAAUACUUUCAAUACUGUACAUAUGUAAACUCUCUGCUCUUUUGUCCGGAAGAAGAAAAUACUCAACUGAAUACGCAGUCCCAAUAAGAAGAAUAUGGUACUUACAAAACUAGGAAAAUAUAAUAUAAUUUGCGAGACUAGCAAAAUAUACGUAAAUUCCGGGAUAUGAAUUUUUCCUUAUGCCUCGUUAUCAAACUUGUGUAAUUACGAUAUCAUGCCAAAAUGAAGGAAAAGCUUAGCCUUAACAUAUCUGGAGUAGGAAAAACUCCGUAUAAUACUCCGUUGGAAAACCUUCGUUGACUGAGCGAAACUUGCCCCUGCUUCUUUAAAAAUUCACAGAUGAAAUUCUUCUGGUUCCUUGAAUUUUUUGGAACGAAUCAUGUUUAUUUUGGCUUGGAAGGACUAAAGCUUUUGUUCCUAUUGUCUUUUGUUUUAAACCAAAGACAGAACGUGUGUAAUUUCCAUAAUAAGGCUUCUGUUUGUUCCUAAUGUCUUUGGUUUGACAGAA
RNAcentral lists this long non-coding RNA (963 nucleotides) under Nicotiana tabacum (common tobacco). RNAcentral describes it as "long non-coding RNA (NTAB_LNC000697)". The record is from RNAcentral. Lineage: Eukaryota; Viridiplantae; Streptophyta; Magnoliopsida; Solanales; Solanaceae.